Molecule: RNA transcript, 4312 nt
Organism: Prionailurus viverrinus (fishing cat)
Lineage: Eukaryota; Metazoa; Chordata; Mammalia; Carnivora; Felidae
Gene: CASD1
Gene name: CAS1 domain containing 1
Exons: 22
Source: RefSeq, a predicted model, not a curated record
ACGACAGGAGAAAGCCCCAGAGCUCGCUUUCGGGCUAGGUCGGACCCCUCGUCCCCUCUCCCCACAUCCCCAUGCCCCUGACGCUGCCGCCGCCCGCUGGCGCCCAUGACCCGGUGACCCCAGAGGGCCAUCAGGAGCCCGUGACCCCGGGGCACCGGGCAUCCGGACCCCCCUCGCAGGCGCAGCCGCUAUUAAGGCAGGAGGCUAAAGGGGAGGAGGAGGAAGGGGAGGAGACAGGCGUCCAGGGCGCCUGGGGAACCGCCACCGCCGAGCCGGGGUGGCGAGCGUGGGGGAAAGCCGCUGAGGCGGCCGCGGCCGAGGAGGGCCAGGUGGAGGCCCGGGGCGCCGCGGCGGCGGGGUCAGGCUCCCCGGCGGGAGGCGCGGGUGGCGGCCGCGGGAGCUGGCGGCGGCUCCUAGCCUGGCUGCGGCGGCCGCCCCAGUGCUGCCCCUGUGCGGCGCCCCUUCCUCGCUCCGCCGCGCACUGUUGUCAUGGAGGAACCAAGAUGGCGGCUCUGGCCUACAACCUGGGCAAGCGGGAGAUCAACCACUACUUCAGCGUGAGGAGCGCCAAGGUGCUGGCGCUGGUGGCCGUGCUGCUCCUCGCAGCGUGCCACCUCGCCUCCCGCCGCUACCGAGGCAAUGAUUCAUGUGAAUACCUUCUCUCAAGUGGCAGAUUUCUUGGAGAGAAAGUUUGGCAACCUCACAGUUGCAUGAUGCAUAAAUACAAAAUCAGUGAAGCAAAGAACUGUCUUGUAGAUAAACAUAUUGCAUUUAUUGGAGAUUCCAGAAUUCGUCAGUUGUUUUAUUCUUUUGUAAAAAUAAUUAAUCCCCAAUUCAAAGAAGAAGGAAAUAAGCAUGGAAACAUUCCUUUUGAAGACAAGAUUUCAUCAGUUAAAGUGGAUUUUCUAUGGCAUCCAGAAGUUAAUGGUUCUAUGAAACAGUGUAUCAAAGUAUGGACUGAGGAUUCUGUUGCAAAGCCCCAUGUGAUUGUAGCAGGAGCUGCCACAUGGUCUAUCAAGAUUCACAAUGGUAGCAACGAAGCUCUUUCCCAAUAUAAAAUGAACAUUACCUCCAUAGCACCACUUUUAGAAAAACUGGCAAAGACUAGUGAUGUUUAUUGGGUCUUACAAGAUCCUGUUUAUGAAGAUCUAUUAAGUGAAAAUAGGAAAAUGAUCACUAAUGAGAAGAUAGAUGCCUACAAUGAAGCUGCAGUCAGCAUUUUGAAUAGUAGCACCAGAAAUUCUAAAUCAAAUGUUAAGAUGUUCAGUGUUUCUAAAUUAAUUGCUCAAGAAACCAUCACAGAGUCUUUGGAUGGCUUACAUCUUCCUGAAUCAAGCAGAGAAACUAGUGCAAUGAUUCUUAUGAACGUGUAUUGCAAUAAGAUUUUGAAGCCUGUAGAUGGUUCCUGUUGUCAACCUCGGCCUCCUCUUACCCUCAUACAGAAGCUAGCUGCUUGUUUUUUUACUUUAUCUAUUAUCGGAUAUUUAAUUUUUUAUAUAAUUCAUCGUAACACUCAUCGGAAGAAUAAGCCAUGUACUGAUUUGGAAAGUGGAGAGGAAAAGAAAAAUAUUAUCAAUACCUCUGUGUCUCCAUUAGAAAUACUUUUACAGUCUUUCUGCAAACUUGGCCUGAUAAUGGCUUAUUUCUAUAUGUGUGACCGUGCAAAUCUAUUUAUGAAGGAAAACAAAUUUUAUACACAUUCAACUUUCUUUAUUCCAAUUAUCUACAUCUUGGUUUUGGGAGUAUUUUACAAUGAAAAUACUAAGGAGACUAAAGUGUUAAAUAGAGAACAAACAGAUGAAUGGAAAGGCUGGAUGCAACUUGUGAUUCUGAUUUAUCAUAUCUCUGGAGCAAGUACAUUUUUGCCUGUGUACAUGCACAUCCGGGUUCUGGUUGCUGCAUACCUAUUUCAGACAGGGUAUGGGCAUUUCUCAUACUUUUGGAUCAAAGGAGACUUUGGAAUUCAUAGAGUCUGUCAGGUCUUAUUUCGUCUCAAUUUCCUGGUAGUGGUGUUAUGUAUAGUAAUGGAUCGGCCUUAUCAAUUCUAUUACUUUGUCCCCUUGGUCACUGUAUGGUUCAUGGUCAUAUAUGUUACUUUAGCACUAUGGCCACAAAUAAUCCAAAAAAAAGCAAACGGAAAUUGUUUCUGGCAUUUUGGCUUACUGUUGAAACUAGCCUUCUUGCUGUUAUGUAUAUGUUUUUUGGCAUAUUCUCAGGGUGCAUUUGAGAAGAUCUUUUCUCUUUGGCCAUUGUCCAAGUGUUUUGAACUGAAAGGGAAUGUAUAUGAAUGGUGGUUCAGAUGGAGGUUAGACCGUUACGUAGUCUUUCAUGGAAUGUUGUUUGCUUUCAUUUAUCUGGCUUUACAGAAGCGUCAAGUACUUUCUGAAGGAAAGGGUGAACCUCUUUUUUCAAACAAAAUUUCAAAUUUUCUAUUGUUUAUUUCAGUAGUUUCUUUCUUGACCUAUUCCAUCUGGGCUAGCAGUUGUAAAAACAAAGCAGAGUGCAAUGAACUCCACCCAUCUGUAUCUGUGGUGCAGAUUUUAGCCUUCAUCCUAAUAAGGAAUAUCCCUGGAUAUGCCCGUUCAGUUUAUAGUUCAUUUUUUGCUUGGUUUGGAAAAAUUUCAUUAGAGGACUUGAUUGUAAAUGAAAAAUGUAAAAAUAAUGCUGUGAAAUUCAGAUGUAUAUGAAGUGAAAAAACUGCAUCAAAACAUUUAACAGAUGAGAUUACUGCUCUGAGGACCAGAUGCCAGGCCAAAGACUCAAGCUGUUGGUACACAUUUGCUCUAGGCACAGGGCAGUGACCACAUCUGUGGACACUUGCUUCUUACCACCCACUCACCUGCUCUGAGACCAUCUAGGCCCAGUUCUCUGCACGGGAGAUGUGAACAGGGCAUGCGCACAACCGUCACAGCCUGCCCUGCUGUGGCGCACAAAUCCACGUCCACACUUUUGUCCUACAUGCUUUCCAUGGGCUGCUUUUUCUGAAGAGUUCUAAUAUUAUCCAAUGGGGUACAUGUCAAAAGAAACAGGCAUAUUAUUGGAACAAAAUUGCAAGGGUCCAUCACUUCCCGCAUGAAGCAUGUGUACGCUUCUUUUUUGGCAAGGUGCUAGCCUUGAAAAUACCAAUGGAGUUAUAAGGGGAGAUGAGAAAGAAGACACCAGAGGAUUGAAAUCCUGGAUACCACGUGUUCCAGAUCAUAUAGCAUACAAGAUGGAGAAAGACUGACCUCAUUGCACUGGACUAUGAUAUGAGUGAACGGCACUUUUAUUGUGUUAAGCUACUGUGAUCUCAGGGAUAUUUUUGUCACAACACAGCUCACAAAAUAAUCUUUCCCCAAAUGAAAAUCCAUCCUCUCAUCGCAUUGAGUUUUCAGUAUAGAGCAAAAAACUCAUCAAGAAAUUCUCCUUUGUGUAUGAAUCUCAUGUUUAUCACAAGCUGACUUACAGGUUGUGUGUCAAUGAUUUCAUCCCACUGCAAACUGAAAUGUCAUCUAAUAAGUUCAGAUGAUAGUAACUGCCUUUUAACAAUUUAUAGCAAUGAUGUGGUGCAAAAUCCAGCAGCAUCCCUUGCUUGAUCAAGAUAUCCUGCUGGUAGCUCAUGUAGCUUUCUUUUCUCACCUCAAGUUUCCAUAGCAUCUCUCAGCUUCCCUGCCCCAGGGUUUUCUCCAGAGCCCCAGGAUCUUGUUCUGCCCACUCACAGCCGAAGCCCAGAAGUGCAGGGGAGUUGAUGCCCCCCUGGAGCAAGUCAGCUGCAGGAUGAUGAGUCUGUGGAUGAAAGUCUAAAACUCUUAUCACUUUGAAGGAAAAUUUUGAGGUGUAUUCUAUAUAGUUCAUUAGAUGACGCCCCAGGAGAACAGAGUUCUUCUUUCCAGAAUAAUAGCCAGAUCAACGACAUACUCUUUGUUGGUUUUCCUUCAAAACCUCCUAACCUCAAUCUUUCUGCUUCCAUAGUCUGGCUUCCUGGGAUCAUCCCCAAAUAUAUGACCUGUUUUGGGGGAAACCAACUAAUUCAGUAUUUCUGUUGUAUUGCUGCCUUUUGUGAAUUUCUUCUACAUGAGCGAUCAAUUUGAUUCCCAGUUGAUUAGAAAAGAAUUACAUAUUGUUUGAAAAUGGUGCAAAAACAGACAACACACUAGUUACUGAGGUGGCACUAGUGAACAGAUUUCUGAUUCAAUAAAAUCCACUUUUAAGAUCAUAGGACACAUAGAUUUAUAUUCUAUAUUUGUAAUGGAGCUCUAAUCAGUCUUUAUUAAUAAAUUUUUUUAACAUUUAUUUGAGAGAGGGAGAGAGAUACAAUGCAUGAGGGGCAGAG